UCUCCAGCCAAAUGCGGGAGAUUUGGCAGGUGGACAGCAGCAGCCGGCCAGGCAGUCACUGCACUUGCUGCGUCUAGUCUAUUGUUGUCUGGAGGGGGGGAGAGGGAGUUGUUUGUUUGUUUUGUUGUUUGGCCUCUUUGUCUCUUUUGUUCCAAGCAGUUAGUUUGCUCCUUUCCCAGACACUGGGCUGAUGGAAGAGCUUUAUGGAUUUUUCUUAAAGGGACAGGAUUAGCUAGUUUACCAGUGUAGCAUUAGUGAUGCCUCAGUCCUAACCAGUUUCUACCUAACAGGCUAUAUAUAUAUACAUCUGUACUAUUUUAAAAGAUCAGAGUAAGGAUGGAGAGUUAGUAUUUUUGCUGUUUUUGUGACUGGUUAACAAGAAUAAACGGGUCAAGUUCACCCUCCCCCCCCCCCAAGCGUCCUCCUCCAGGGUUGCCAACACUGCCAGGGGAAAGAAGGAAGGAAGGACAAAAAGAAGAAACCCCUACAAACCAAAGUAAAUGGAAACCAUACAUAAAUAGCUCCAAACAUUGGUACAUGUUCUACCCCUCUUUUUUUAACCUAGGCAUCAAGAUGAGAAAUAUAAACUCAAGGCUUUAAAUAACCACCAGAAGAAGGGCUUUGAAGGGAUAGGGGUGACUGGCCACCAGUCCCCUGACGCUCACCAGGCAGGCACCCAAGGCUCCCCCUGGCCUCACACCCAGACCUGUUUCCUGUAGGCCCUUCCCAGGCUCCAACCCAGAGGACAGACACUGGGCUGGGGGCUUGGGGAGCCUGUUUUGGGUCACCCCUUGGGGCUUGGCCUUCCGGAAGGAAGGGACUGUUAGCACACUCAGGGUGUCCUAUGCCGGUGGUGUCAGAGGGUAGAGUCACUCAGCUGACCUGAGAGCCGCGUCUUAUUUGUUUGAGGAGGGGUAGAGGAAAGGGGUAUCCCGCAAGCCUCUGACUUUUUUGUUUCCGCAGAGACUCCUAGCUUCGCGUCCUUCCUAGUAAUUUAAAUCAGUUUUGGUCUAACGCAGACAGCUUCUGAAGGAAAUGAAAUUUCAAAACACUCCCAAAUUCAUCCACGUUUGAUUUUGAAUUCCAUCUCUAGGCCUCCCUCCAAAAUAAUGCCCAGUCCUUUUUCUUCAUCCUAACUACGCUUUUCCCUUGCUUGCUUUGAAGUCUAGGGUGCUGGAGAUUAAAAAUCAUUACAUACAAUCCAAGGGCUUGAGGCCCUAGGAAGGGUUCAGAGGGGGUGGAGGUGGGAGAGGGAAGUGGGUGCUCCUUUGCCAACAGGAUCUUUUAUGUUAGAAGCAAACAGAUCCGGAGUGGACUCUUCUGCCCUGGAAAGUGCGGCUGCCACAGUCGGAGGGUGCAGGCUGGCUCUGGGGGCAAAGCGGGCUGUCACCUCCGCCCCACCCUCUGGGAGUUUGCUACUUAAGAGGUACACAAUUCUGUCAGCCGCUGGGGUUUGGGGUGGCAGGGUGAGGAGUUAAAAAGCAAGCUGCUUACACCUACAACUUAUCCACCGCCCCCCCCCCCCACCAUAACUUUUCUCCUCUCGGCCACCGUCCCCCUCCUUUUUUCAAAGCUGCCAUAGGUGUCCUGGCCCUUCGUCAUUGCGAAGUUUUUGCUUCUGCUCAGGUGCCAUUUGAAGGGGCCAGGGAAGUCCCGCCUUUCCAGGGGAAAGGAGGAGGGGAUGCUGGGGGGGCGAGGAGAUGGGACCUUGGUUCCCGGCGGGCCCAGUCCGAGAGAGGCCUGUGGGAGGUGCGGCCGGAGGGAGUGAGGCAGCACGUGGGACACGUGUUUGCCCAAGGUUUGGAAAGAGAGGAUGGUGUGGGGCGCGGGUCUCCCGAGACUCCUGGGGGAGGGGGCAUUGGUAGGCAGCUUCGAUUUGGGUGGACGUCUGACGUCCCAGGUCGCACGAGGUAACCGAAAUCCUGCUAACCUUGAGCGUAGAACUUGAUUCGGAUCUGGGCACGCAGGCGCAGCCCCGCUCAACCCGUUAGCUCCCACGGACAUCGCUUAGGGGCAGGCAUCCUCGGUGGCCAACGACCUGAGGAGCACACCCGGCACGUGGAAGGAUCAAAGCAAAGUGCUGGCCACGACCCUGGCGGGGUCAAGUCCGAUUCCAGAACCAGUCCAGCGGGGUUCAGGAAGGGCCCUGCAACCCCAGGCCCGUGAGUCCGCCCCGCGCCAUCCGAGGGGGAUUUCGUUUCUAUUCCCCGCACGUGUCCCAGCGGCGCACCAGGAGAUCCAGUUUCGCCGGAACGUUCCCGUUGACUUGUUGGUUUGAAAGUUGAGGCCCCGGGGUGGUAAGGCUGGCCACAAAAAUUUCAAACCCCGCUAAUCCUAGACAAAAUAAAAACACAAUAGGCCACAAACCAACCAACUUGGAGCACAUUCUGUGGUGGUCUCCUGGCUGGGCACAUGGAACCGCGCAACCUGGAGGGAGUGAACCUUUCUACUUCUAAUGCCCAGUGUUGUGUGGGAAGACCUCAGGAUGGAGUUGCAGCCGGGUCCCCCGUCCACCGCAUGCGCCCGUCUUCUAAAGAAGAAUGAAAACAACCCCCCAAACCGGCCGCAUCCAAAGCUCCGCGGGGUGGGGGGCAAGGGGCGCCGGAAGCUUGCCUGGAGCCCGAGGUUUGGCACGAAUUUGCCUCCCACCGAGACGCAGGGUCUCCCAGGGAGACGGAACCCAGCCGGAGAAAUCGCGGCCUGGGAGCCCCUGGCCCCCACUCGGGAGCCAACCCGCCCAGCGCGAAGAGUGCAUCCCCCGAUCCCCACGCCGGGGAACUGCAAAGCAGGAGGACGCUCAAGGCUCCAGCAGGGUGGAAUCCUAGAGACAAAAAAAAAUCUGAAAAGAAAAAAAUAAAUAAAUUUGAACAAAACUAAACUACAAGCCCGCUGGUCCCCGCCGAAAGCGAGGUGGGGGAGGAGGGGGCGGGAACGGCCGAGGCGCAGAGAGUGGGGGAUGCGAAACGAACUCCGUCCCCUGCAGAGUCGGUGCCUUCGGGGGCUCCAGCACCGCGCGCUCCCGCCGGCAAGGUUUGCAGGACCCUCUGAAGAACCCUCCCAUCAUGGAAGGGAGAAAAUGAAACUCUCUACCAGCGUCUAUUAGGGAAGCUAAAUUUCUCUCUUUCCGGCAAGUUUCCCAAACCUCAUGACUCUCAUUUCCAGACCAAAGAACAAUGCCCUCCUUCUCCCUGAAGUGUAUGAACAGGACUCCCCCUCAGAGCUGAGCCAGACCCUGGAUUCUCAAGGGGUUGGUAACGAGAAGAGAGGAACAGCCUUCUAAGAGUGAAGCCCUCAAGACGUUUCCAAGCUGCCUGGACAAAGGCUUGGAAUGACUACAAUAGUGAACCAUCCUGCCUUGGACCUGAAUCUAGAUCGAUGACCUAAUACAUCUUUUCCAACUCUGACUGCCAUGGUUUUAUGAGCAUCAAGGACUGGGCGUCUGCCAUUGUCAACAAGUAAGGCCUCUCCAGAGCUUGAACAUCCACAGAAACUCAAGUACCCCCCUCCCCCCCGGAAAGCACAGAUCGCCCAGUCUCCCAGGGCUCUGCGUGCUGCCUCUAGCUUUCACGUGUGACACAGAAACUCCUCUUUGGCAGGAUUAAUUCUUAAAUAAAGGAAGUGUGUCCGUUA
Molecule: long non-coding RNA, 3630 nt
Organism: Felis catus (domestic cat)
Lineage: Eukaryota; Metazoa; Chordata; Mammalia; Carnivora; Felidae
Exons: 4
Source: RefSeq, a predicted model, not a curated record